UCGGCGCGGCUGGGCUCGGCUCGGGGCGAGCAGGGGAGCGGAGCGGCGGCUCUGCCCAGCCCGGCGCUCAGGGAGUGCCGCCUCGGGCCAUGCGAGCGGCGGCGGGCAGCGUUCCCGCGGUGCGGCCGGAGUUGGGACCGAAGUCCUCUCGGGCGCUCCUCUGUCUCUUCCAAACGGCUCCUAUCAGCACGGCUUCAACUCUUUCCAUCGGAGACCGAGGGGAGGAGGAGAAGGAGGCGGAGGAGGAGGAGUUUUACAGUAGAGUGAGUCACCUGGUUAUCUAAGCCUCGGGGACAGAUCACCUCACCAAAUGCCACAACUACACAUGCAGUUUCCAGAAGAUAGCUCAACCUGUCCUCAUCCUAAGACUUUGAGAUGCAGCACUGAGCAUUGAACAAUACAUAGCUUAAGACCACACAAAUGUUUGUCAACAUUUAAAGAUAUAAUGGAUAGCAGUUUUCUAUUAAAGAAAAUAUUUUUUGUCCUAAAAUCUUCUAGGAUUUUCCUGCUACUAUUUUGCUGUUUCCCCCACUAGGCUGGGAUCAGUUCUGUUGGUCAUGCGUGUGUAUGCAUUGCUCAAAGACUUACUAAUAAAAUGUGCACAUAAAUAAAAGUUUUGUAAUGUUUCCAUGGACA
Molecule: long non-coding RNA, 636 nt
Organism: Lonchura striata (white-rumped munia)
Lineage: Eukaryota; Metazoa; Chordata; Aves; Passeriformes; Estrildidae
Source: RefSeq, a predicted model, not a curated record